Molecule: non-coding RNA, 72 nt
Organism: Brachypodium distachyon (stiff brome)
Lineage: Eukaryota; Viridiplantae; Streptophyta; Magnoliopsida; Poales; Poaceae
Source: Rfam
UCCUCAGUAGCUCAGUGGUAGAGCGGUCGGCUGUUAACUGACUGGUCAUAGGUUCGAAUCCUACUUGGGGAG